AGAAAAUAGAUACCCAGGUAGUCCACGCUGUAAACGAUGGGUACUAGGUUUGGUGGGUCUUGACCCCUGCUGAAACCGGCGCUAAACGCACUAAGUACCCCGCCUGGGAAGUACGGUCGCAAGACUAAAACUCAAAGGAAUUGACGGGGGCCCGCACAAGCGGUGGAUCAUGUGGUUUAAUUCGAAGCAACGCGAAGAACCUUACCUGGAUUUGACAUCUCCUGACAACCCUAGAGAUAGGGCUUCUGUAGCAAUACAGCAGGAUGACAGGUGCUGCAUGGCUGUCGUCAGCUCGUGUGGUGACAUGUUGGGUUAAGUCCCGCAACGAGCGCAACCCUUGUCUUUAGUUGCCAGCAUUCAGUUGGGCACUCUAAAGAGACUGCCGUGGUUAACACGGA
RNAcentral lists this ribosomal RNA (398 nucleotides) under uncultured bacterium. RNAcentral describes it as "bacterial SSU rRNA". It matches the Rfam family "Bacterial small subunit ribosomal RNA", at positions 775 to 1167 of the family's 1533-position model. The record is from RNAcentral.